GAUGAACGCUGGCGGCGUGCCUAAUACAUGCAAGUCGAGCGAACAGACGAGGAUCUUGCUCCUCUGACGUUAGCGGCGGACGGGUGAGUAACACGUGUAUAACCUCCCUAUCAUACUGGGAUCACUUCGGGAAACCGGAUCUAAUACCGGAUAAUAUAUUGAACCGUAUGGUUCAAUAGUGAAAUACGGUUUUUCUGUCACUUCUAGAUGGAUCCGCGCCGCUGUAGCUAGUUGGUAAGGUAACGGCUUACCAAGGCGACCAUGCGUAGCCGACCUGAGAGGGUGGUCGGCCACACUGGAGCGGGGACAGGGUCAAGACUCCUACGGGAGGCAGCAGUAGGGAAUCUUCCGCAAUGGGCGAAAGCCUGACGGAGCAACGCCGCGUGAGUGAUGAAGGUCUUCGGAUCGUAAAACUCUGUUAUUAGGGAAGAACAAAUGUGUAAGUAACUAUGCACGGCUUGACGGUACCUAAUCAGAAAGCAACGGCUAACUACGUG
Molecule: ribosomal RNA, 497 nt
Filed under: uncultured bacterium
Lineage: Bacteria
Description: partial 16S ribosomal RNA
Rfam family: Bacterial small subunit ribosomal RNA
Source: RNAcentral